Papaver somniferum (opium poppy) is the source of this 1007-nucleotide long non-coding RNA. RefSeq lists it as uncharacterized. NCBI's taxonomy places the organism in Eukaryota, Viridiplantae, Streptophyta, Magnoliopsida, Ranunculales, Papaveraceae. The record is from RefSeq and is a predicted model, not a curated record. The transcript is spliced from 5 exons.
UUUAAUCCAUCGACGACUCAUAUUGCUUUGAAAAUGGUGAAAAGUGGAGAAGAUAAAUCCCCGCUGAGAAUGACUCCCCCUUUUAUGCCCUAAUCCAACGACCCCUAUUCGAGUUACCCAGAUUCUCCUUUACUUAUCUUACGUUACCAUUGAUUCCAGUAGCCAAAAAUAGGGUUCAUCAACAUAUUCUCCAUUAAUGGUUCUUAGCGUUACGGAAAAAAAUAAACACCUUCAUUAUUUCCGUUAAUCUAUUCCUUGAGAUGUCCGAGUGGAGAAGAUAAAUCCAGGAUGAGAAUGACUCCCCCUUUUAAGCCCUAAUCCAACGAACCCUAUUCGAGUUACCCAGAUUCUCCUUAUCUUACGUUACCAUUGAUUCCAGUAGCCAAAAAUAGGGUUCAUCAACAUAUUCUCCAUUAAUGGUUCUUAGCGUUACGGAGAAAAAUAAACACCUUCAUUAUUUCCGCUAAUCAAUUCCUUGAGAUGUCCGACUACAUAUUGUGGGAUGUAUUAGGAUACAAGAUAUGGAUAGUGUUUGUUAUGGACUUUGUACGAAGCUUUGGUUAUCUGAAGGAGAUCAUCAAGUCGGGUGUAUUUCUAAAGGUUACACAUUUACGGGACCCAACAUCCUCUUAGAUGAUUGCCUUCCCAGUAAAGCUGAUAAGAACUUGUUGAAUGCUGUCAAAAAUUCCAUUGUUCAAGGGUUCUAAUGGGGAGCACGUGAGGGACCUUUCUGUGACGAACCUAUCAAAAAUGUGAAGAUCAAGAUUGAACCCAUAUAUCGAGGCACUGGUCAGAUUAUUCCAACUGCUUGACGGGUUGCAUAUUCAGCUUUCCUCAUGGCUACUCCACGUCUUAUGGAACCUGUAUACUAUGUUGAGAUACAAACCCCAAUAGAUUGUGUAUCUGCCAUCUAUACGGUGUUGUCUCAUUGAUGUGGUCAUGUUACGGCUGAUGUUCCUCAGCCUGGUACGCCAGCUUAUAUCAUAAAGGUCGGUUAUAAAACUCUA